Molecule: long non-coding RNA, 1371 nt
Filed under: Musa acuminata (dwarf banana)
Lineage: Eukaryota; Viridiplantae; Streptophyta; Magnoliopsida; Zingiberales; Musaceae
Description: long non-coding RNA (MACU_LNC001839)
Source: RNAcentral
CAACGAGGAUGUGGACAGCCCAAAGAACGUCCUUCCUCCCUUCACUCUUCCUCUUCCACCCAGUGUCAUGGAGGGCUUUUCUUCCUUCCCUCUAUGCUUAUCCAAGCCCAAGAGCUCCAUCACCUGGUGAUUGCUGCAAAAUACUAGAAAGCUCAAUUUGCUUUGUUUUCUUUUCCGCUACUUUAUGGAUCAAAAUCUUGCCUAUGUAAAAUCCAGUUAGGGAUAGAAUUGUUGUAACCAAUUGCAUUCUGCCCAGCGAUUCAACCGAGCUAUGCCAUGAAUCGUAUGAACUCAAGAUCUUUGCUGUACAUGUCAUCAGUAAUCCCAGAUUUUUCUUUGCGUUUCUGGGUGACAGUAUUUGCUGGGUUGAGCUCCGAGUCUAUGUUGUUAUACGGUGGUAAUCUACUGAUUCAGCAAUGGAAAGUGUAAUGAUAUAGUUUCGUUACAAGUGUUUGUAAUUAGACAGAAAUUAGUGAAUUCUCUGAAGUUCGACCCCUCAGAACCAAAACAUACUACUCCUAAAGCAAUUGCUAGCAAGAUGAUAGAUACGGCAAAAUACAAAAUCAAGUGAUUAAUGUACAUGACGCACACACAGCUACAUAAUUGAAUCCUGUUAAUCCAAUGUAUAUCCCUCAGAAUGCCUGAUAUCCACAAAUCAUGAACUCACUGGUUCCUCGACCUCAGCCUUCGCUGAGGGAGCACCAAUCAUUCACAACUCUACUGCAAGUUCAGAUUACUAAACUCGUCGUCACAGGGACAUCCGAAACAGGAUUCUUUAUAUGUCUUUACAGCUACAAAUUAACAGAAAAUAAACGGAGAAAGUUUACCUAAAGAUAACAAGAAAUUCUAAGUAAAAUCACAUAAAUAAUGGCUAAGGCAUUAUUUUAAGGACAAGUGGUAACCUCCACGCUAGUCCUUAACAACAGACGUAAGGAGUGCACAAGCAACAGUGGUCUGCCAUUUUAUCGAACACAAAGACGACACGGUGUGGGUUGUUUUAGAUGCUAGAAAACCAUACCUCGAGUAAAAGCUUGAUGCUGCCAAGGGAGCACUCCCACUUGCCGCGACUUGGCUACACUUACCUAAGCACCCACUCGAGUGCUUCGGUGGUGACCAAGACGAAAUAGCUCCCUCGCUUCAUGUUGGAGCAAGAGAGGACGCGCGCAGUGCGUACCCAGCAACGUAGAAAGACGGGGAGGAACAUGGGCGGGUGAGCGAGCAACGAAGGGUCUGGGGGAGGAGCAGGAGAGAGCGGCUAUGGAGUCCAGGAAUGAGGGUUUGUCAUCGACCGUUCUGGUUUAGGGUUUGGGUUUUUGUGUCCAUCGACCGAGAGAGUUGGGCCGGGCCGGACCGGUAUGGUUCAAGUUAUGA